AAUCUAAUAGAACCUUCAAUUUUAAUCAAACCCUAAUCCUAAUCCAACCUUAAUCAAAUCCUACAAAAAUCCAAAUCCUAAACCAAAUCCUAAUCAAAUCUUAAUCAAACCCUAAACCUUAAAUCAAUCCUUAACCAAAUCCUAAAUAAAAUCCUAAAUCCUAAUCCAAAUCCUAAUUCAAAUCCUAAAUUCUAAAUCAAAUCCUAAACCAAAUCCUAAACCCUAAACCCUAAACCAAAUCCUAAACUAUAUCAUAAUCUUAACAAAUCUUAAAUCUUAAAUCAAAUCCUAAUCAAAUCCUAAUCCUAAAUCCUAAACCAAAUCCUAAACCAUAUCGUAAUCCUAACAAAUCCUAAAUCCUAAAUCAAAUCCUAAACCAUAUCUUAACCCUAACAAACCCUAAACCCUAAAUCAAAUCCUAACUCAAACCAAACCCUAAUCAUAGAUUUGAAAAUUAAAUAACUAAAAAUUAUAAUUCAAAAUUUUCAUACUUCUUGGAGUUUAAAUUAGAAACCAGUACAAAAAUUUUGAAGAAAAUCACACUUACCAAUUACUCGAUGACCUCAAAAUUCCGCUCUGAUGUGAGUUCGUCUCUCCUUCUCCAAUCUUGAUGCCAACUUUCAGCACUGAUAUCUUUCUUUUUUACUAUUAGAUUGCUUCCAAAUUUUACUUGCAUAUAGGAAAUCAAGUCUUCUACUGAUAAAACCAAAAAUCUCUCCAAUCCAACUAGUAGAUUGCUAGAUAUCUAAGAAAACCUUACUGGUCCUUAAAACCCUAAAUUUCAAGACCUUAGCCCACAAAAACCUUCAUAUGUAUCGAUCUAGCUAUUCGAUUGACUCCAAAUCUCUUACGCACAUUUACAACAAGCAUAUC
RNAcentral lists this long non-coding RNA (873 nucleotides) under Physcomitrium patens. Its description in RNAcentral is "long non-coding RNA (PPAT_LNC003564)". Lineage: Eukaryota; Viridiplantae; Streptophyta; Bryopsida; Funariales; Funariaceae. The record is from RNAcentral.